Molecule: ribosomal RNA, 423 nt
Filed under: uncultured Glomeraceae
Lineage: Eukaryota; Fungi; Glomeromycota; Glomeromycetes; Glomerales; Glomeraceae
Description: SSU rRNA
Rfam family: Eukaryotic small subunit ribosomal RNA
Source: RNAcentral
GGGAGGUAGUGACAAUAAAUAACAAUACGGGGUUCUUUCGGAUUUCGUAAUUGGAAUGAGUACAAUUUAAAUCUCUUAACGAGGAACAAUUGGAGGGCAAGUCUGGUGCCAGCAGCCGCGGUAAUUCCAGCUCCAAUAGCGUAUAUUAAAGUUGUUGCAGUUAAAAAGCUCGUAGUUGAAUUUCGGGGUUAGUAGGUUGGUCGUGCCUCUGGUAAGUACUGGCUUCACUGAUUCCUCCUUCCUGAUGAGCCGUAAUGCCAUUAAUUUGGUGUUGCGAGGAAUCUGGACUGUUACUUUGAAAAAAUUAGAGUGUUUAAAGCAAGCUAACGCUUGAAUACAUUAGCAUGGAAUAAUGAAAUAGGACGUUCGGUCUUAUUUUGUUGGUUUCUAAGAUUGACGUAAUGAUUAAUAGGGAUAGUUGGG